AGGACCAGGUAAAAAAUUGGGAUUUACAAAUUCCAGACCUAAAAAGAAGAAAAAUAUGUAAUUCAAAGAAUGGAUAAUCUUAAAAUGAGGGACCUAUAGAUGCAGAUUGAAACAUCAUCCUGGUAUCCACUUGAAUCUGCAGCACCUCAGAGUGCCCUGGGCUUGAUCCUCUUUGCUGUGAUAGUGGCCCUGGCUCUUCUGACAGGUCUUGGAUUUUGGUUUAGAAAACGCUGGACCCACUGUGAAGCUCUCUGAAGUUCUGGCCCUCUGAAGUGAGGACCCAGUCUACACGUGAACACCACAGGGUGAUGACAUCACUUCAACUCUCCUUGUUAAAACUUUGCAAUUCAUUUCUGCUCCAUGAUCAUUUACCAAUACAUGCUCAAUGUAAUCUUGCAGGAUUUGUUGUUCUGACCUGGCUUCUGUGACUUCAACUUUGAAUGUAACAGGAUGUUAGCAGUGUCAGCCUGGAUAGAUAAAAUGGAUCAUCAGAUGCAUUUCAGCUGUCACAUCCUCCAGGGGUCCUUCCUUGAUCCACAGUGGGAAGCCAUCUCUCCUCCAUCUGUGCUUCCCCAGAUUUCAACUGUGCCCCUCACUGCCUAGCAUCUGUGGCAGGUGUGUAGGUUCAUUUCUUCUUUUAAAAGUUUGAGAGCAAAACACAUGCUUUUUGAGUAUCUGUAUCCCUGGUGAAAUGUUUGGCCUGAAUAUAACAUGUUCUCAAUAAAAACUGUGUUGAUUAUGUAA
Marmota monax (woodchuck) is the source of this 744-nucleotide long non-coding RNA. RefSeq lists it as uncharacterized. The record is from RefSeq and is a predicted model, not a curated record. NCBI's taxonomy places the organism in Eukaryota, Metazoa, Chordata, Mammalia, Rodentia, Sciuridae. The transcript is spliced from 2 exons.